Long non-coding RNA from Alosa alosa (allis shad), 727 nucleotides. RefSeq lists it as uncharacterized. Lineage: Eukaryota; Metazoa; Chordata; Actinopteri; Clupeiformes; Clupeidae. The transcript has 3 exons. The record is from RefSeq and is a predicted model, not a curated record.
GGUAGGCCUGUCAACAAUAUCGCAAAAUUUGGAAAGAUCUAGCACAGGCUGGAAACCCCAUUAAUUUUUGGAGCCGAUCAGACUCAAAGCAGUACUAUGUCGGCAAUUCAGAGCCAGUCUCAAUGAAGGACUGGCAGGAAGCAAGGGAGGAUACUAUAUCCAUUUAUUCUGUGAAAUUAGCAAAAGUGGUGUUUGGAAAUGACCUCCUUGCUGACUCCUGCGUGCCUGGACCCGGACAUAGACAAGGAACACCUCUGGAUGAAAAAAAAUUGAAAGCUAUAAUAAGAUAAGUUAAAAAGCUGUUUACGGAUGCAACAGAGCAAUGUGUUAAAGACGCCAUCCAAGUCAAGUGUAUGAAUGAGCGUAUACAAAAAAGAAAAAGAGGAGAAAGAAGGAGAGAGCCAGAGUAAUGCAAACUGAGGGUGUAGGGGGAUGGGGGUUAGCCUCGGCCAGUUAGCUUCCACCAUCAUUAAAAAUGGUGUACAACAUGUGCACACUUCUGCCCACAUUUUUCCAAACGAGCCAUUUAGGUGCCACAUCACUGGUGGACACAAAUGUACAGUAUGUCGUCUAUAUGGAUUGGUGAAUGAGUUGAGAAUUUCCUGCUGGGAGGAUCAGCCAAUCCAACAUAAUUUGGUAGAUUGAUUGACAUACUGUUAAAAAAAUAAUGAGCAUGAUUAUGCAGGAUUUUUCAAAUGUAAUAAAAAAAAAAAACAAUUGAACUCAA